Molecule: ribosomal RNA, 508 nt
Filed under: uncultured Bacteroidota bacterium
Lineage: Bacteria; Pseudomonadati; Bacteroidota
Description: bacterial SSU rRNA
Rfam family: Bacterial small subunit ribosomal RNA
Source: RNAcentral
UACUGAGACACGGACCAGACUCCUACGGGAGGCAGCAGUGAGGAAUAUUGGACAAUGGGCGCAAGCCUGAUCCAGCCAUGCCGCGUGCAGGAUGAAGCAUCUAUGGUGUGUAAACUGCUUUUGUACGAGAAGAAACACCCCUACGUGUAGGGGCUUGACGGUAUCGUAAGAAUAAGGAUCGGCUAACUCCGUGCCAGCAGCCGCGGUAAUACGGAGGAUCCAAGCGUUAUCCGGAAUUAUUGGGUUUAAAGGGUCCGUAGGCGGCCUUAUAAGUCAGUGGUGAAAUCUCCCGGCUCAACCGGGAAAUGGCCAUUGAUACUGUAGGGCUUGAAUUAUUAGGAAGUAACUAGAAUAUGCAGUGUAGCGGUGAAAUGCUUAGAGAUUACAUGGAAUACCAAUUGCGAAGGCAGGUUACUACUAAUGGAUUGACGCUGAUGGACGAAAGCGUGGGUAGCGAACAGGAUUAGAUACCCUGGUAGUCCACGCCGUAAACGAUGGAUACUAGCUG